RNAcentral lists this ribosomal RNA (365 nucleotides) under uncultured eukaryote. RNAcentral's name for it is "partial 18S ribosomal RNA". It matches the Rfam family "Eukaryotic small subunit ribosomal RNA", at positions 592 to 976 of the family's 1831-position model. The record is from RNAcentral.
CAAUAGCGUAUAUUUAAGUUGUUGCAGUCAAAAAGCUCGUAGUCGGAUUUUGGCUGAGAACGAUCGGUCCGCCGUUAGGUGUGCACUGAUUGGUCUCAGCUUCCUGGUGAGGAGGUGUGCUUCACGGCCACUUAGUCACCGUGGUUACUUUGAAAAAAUUAGAGUGUUCAAAGCGGGCUUACGCUUGAAUAUAUUAGCAUGGAAUAACACCAUAGGACUCCUGUCCUAUUUCGUUGGUCACGGGACGGGAGUAAUGAUUAAGAGGAACAGUUGGGGGCAUUCGUAUUUCAUUGUCAGAGGUGAAAUUCUUGGAUUUAUGAAAGACGAACUUCUGCGAAAGCAUUUGCCAAGGAUGUUUUCAUUGA